RNAcentral lists this long non-coding RNA (448 nucleotides) under Pan troglodytes (chimpanzee). RNAcentral's name for it is "lincRNA". Lineage: Eukaryota; Metazoa; Chordata; Mammalia; Primates; Hominidae. The record is from RNAcentral.
ACGGGGAGGACGCGCCGCGGCCGGGCAGGGAGGAGACCGGCACCCAGACAGGAAGGAAAAUACAUGUACAGCCAACUUCCUUGAGGGUGUGUUCUUUUGCAUCAGGGUUUCUCAAACUCUUGCCAUUAAAACACCUGUAAGAGAAUCAUCCCGGGUGCUUGCUCACUCUGCAUACAGACCCUUUAGAAUCAGAGUCAGAAUCCCUGGGGCUGGAACCACAACAUGAAAUGACAUUCCAAUAAGUUUGUCGUCACGUAAGAGAGAAUACAUAACCUGCACUCUUCUCUGCAAUGAAUCCCAAAAGUAUGUAGUUGAGCUGACUGCAAGGUGCUUGACACGCAAGAGAUUCCACAAAUGGGAUUUGGCCUCUGGAAAGUGGUGGUAGUUCCAGAUUUAUGUGGAUGUUACUUUGUAUUUCCCUAUAAAAUAUAUUCUUUAAACUAUCAAG